This 2736-nucleotide long non-coding RNA is filed under the name Salmo salar (Atlantic salmon). RNAcentral's name for it is "lncRNA (ENSSSAG00000109800.1)". The record is from RNAcentral. Lineage: Eukaryota; Metazoa; Chordata; Actinopteri; Salmoniformes; Salmonidae.
GGAAGAUAUGCCUACAACACAAUAAAAGACAAGUCGACCAGAUAGUUUUUAAAAGUUUUUAUUGGGGAAGCUGCAGCAGGGGCAUCAGAACAGCUCAGUCCCUGGUUGGAGGGGUUGGUGAGCAGGCCGUCACACGCUGCAGCCACAAGGGUCAUCUGGUGUCAGAGGUUAAACAGAGCUCACUGGACCCAAUAUUGACCUGAGAUCAGUGUAUAUGAAAAUGUCAUAACUUCACACAAUCCUCACACUGACUUAGUGACUGAUGUGAGUGAAAGUUGGAAUUACAGCAGGUAUCUCAGCUUAAUAUUUGGUCCACUGAGUAUGGGCACACUGGACAGAGACUGGAACAGCAAGGGCAUGACAACAUAUAUGUUUUUCAGUUGGAGGGCUGUUAAGGAAUAUCUUCUAUAGAUCAGUAAAUAAUCAACUUUUUAUUGAGGUAUUGUAUUAGGAUACUUGGGUUCAGAAACCUCACUCCUACACAACGUAAAUUAAAUGGAAUGACUUGUCAUAACUUGGUUUCAAAACUAGUCAUCAUCAUGGCCAUAGUGACAUUUUCUACGGGAACGCUUUGACUAAGGUCAGUAAAGUUCAGUAAGAGCGUGUUGGGCUAUACAAAAAAAGUCAUCAAAGUUGAUUGGUCGCGUACUGAUUUGCAAGUGCAGCGAAAUGCUUAUGUUUCUAGCUCCAACAAUGCAGUUAUAUCUAGUAAUACAAUACAUACAUAAUCCAACAUUUGGAAAAAGAACAGGAAAUGAAGACGUAUCAGAAUAAUGUAUGUGAAUGUUGUUUAUAGACAGUCCAGAUCAGGGAAGUAGAAUUAGCUGAUUAAUGUCCAAAAGUUUUUUUCUCGGGUGUAAAGUAACAAUACUAGAAAUGUUCUGAGCAAAUAAGGUAAGAAAUAACAAACAAAUCUAAAUACUGCAAAGUUGGCUAGGAGCGAGAAACAGGGCGUCUGCUGACAUACAGGUCUGUGAAUGCAUCCUUUUUCAAGACAUGCUUAAUAAUAAUUUAUUGGUCCCAGCCAGUUAUCCAGUGUGACCUUUAACCUCAGGAUCCGCACUUCUGCACGGCUGUCUCGGUCGUCGGCGCCUGGCCGCCGAUAGCGAUACCAUCAUCAGGUUCAGGGGUCAUUAUGGCCGCCGGUGGAUCAGAACCUGACGUCAACUGCUCCUUCUUAAAGCCUGAGGGGACAGGAAAUACAGAGAAGUAGUACACACACAUUCUAUGUAAAGGUUAUGCAAAGGCCAGACAAGGUUUAGCAGACCAGCACCAAGAUUUUAGUUAUCAAAAGAUGCAAUUAAUUAGCCUGCCUAAUCGUAGUGACUGAUAAUGCUUUUUAAAUCCUAGCCGUACAUAGCUGGUUAUCAAACAAACAACAGCUCAAGAAGUAUCCAAUUGUCAAAACAGUUGCCGUCACGAUUGACACAGGGUAAAUGCUACAGCAGUCUUUUAAAGACAUAUGGAGUGACCUUAGAGUGUUAUUAUAGAAGUUGCUACACAGAUCUAACAAAUGUUGUCCAACCAGGGAUUAGAGAUGAACCUUCUCAGCCUCUGCUUAAAAUGUGGAGAUGCAAUAAACUAAUUGAAAUUAGAAGACUUAGCCUGCAAGCCAUGGGAUAACUCAGUCUCUGAUAAGGGAACCUAUCACCAGUGACAGCCUGCCCACUGGGCAAAAACUGGUUGAAUCAACAUUGUUCCACUUCAUAAAAAAAUGUAUAAUAAUGUGAUGAUGUUGAAUCAACGUGAAAAACUGAUUGGAUUUGCAAAAAUGGAAUUUAGUCUUUUUCACCCAACUUUUAACAUAAAUCCAAUGCCAUGGUGAAAUGUUUUGUUGAUUUCACAUUGGUUGACAACAGAAACAGAGGUUGAACCGUCUGUGCUACAUAUCAGUGUAAUGUAUCAAUGGCCGAUAUUGCCCUAUUAAAUGUAUACAUGCAGUAAAGAGGUUAAUGAAACGCAGGGCUCUAUUCAAUGUGGAUUGAUGAACUACAGAUUGCGUGACAGAGAUGUAAAGGUCAUUUCUGAUUGAGCUGACAUAUGCAGCGAAUUGAAAAGAGCCUGCAAACGGUGGGGGAAACACAAGGACGUGGUUAUUGGCGGCCAUUCAAAAACAACAUUGGUUCUAACAAAGUGGUAUUUAUAAAAUCCGUCAUGAUUUAUGUGUUCGAACAGGCCCACAAUGUGGUUAUUAAAAUCAAAUAUGGAUAUAUUUUGUUGUUUAUGCUGCAUAAUGUUGGGGUUUAACUUGAAAUAUACUUUUUCCUGUCACUAUAUAAUAACUUAUUGAUUAAGUUACAUGUAUGAUAAGGCAGGACAGCUGAAGGGAAACAGUCUCUGAUAAGGCAGGCCAGCUGAAGGGAAACAGUCUCUGAUAAGGCAGGCCAGCUGCAGAACUAGGGGGGGAGCGAGGAUGUAUUGGCUGUCUAGAUAUGUAAGUAGUUGACCGCGCCUAGUAGGAGGUUAUAAACACAUGUGCUUGUGUAAUCAUAACUAGGGCUGUUACGUUAACCGUAUUUCCGCCACACCGGUGAUCACGAGUCAUGACGACAGUCAAAUUCCACGUGACCAUUUAGUCAUGGUAAUUAGGCUUCUCCAAGCUCUGAUGCUGCUGAUGAUCAUUAGCAGUCUACCAAACUUGUGAACUGCCUGGUACUCAGCACUCUACUCGCUCUAAUCACUCUGACAUCAAUCCAAAUCUAAUAAAAAAUCUAAUCAAACACUUCAUGAGAGUCC